This 301-nucleotide long non-coding RNA is filed under the name Cricetulus griseus (Chinese hamster). Its description in RNAcentral is "lncRNA (ENSCGRG00015039676.1)". The record is from RNAcentral. Lineage: Eukaryota; Metazoa; Chordata; Mammalia; Rodentia; Cricetidae.
UUUAAAAUGAAUUGUGCUUUCGCCAGCUUACCUGAUAAGUCUUCGCUUUACUCACAAGAGUCCUGCCUGUGUUUCCUUCUAGAAUUAUACAGCUUUAGUUUUGCGGGUAGCCCUCUGAUUCCUUUGAGAUGACUUUUGUGUGCUGUGAGGAAAAAAGAACACCCUUUCUUCAGAGACCCGUUUCUUAAUGCUGCUCAAAAAUCAACUGACAACAGAUGAAGAGAAGAACUGAUCUUAGAAGCCCUGAAUGAGUUUGGUAUGCAGUUUAAAAUAAGCAAUACCAAAGCAAAAUAAAGUAAGA